RNAcentral lists this transfer RNA (90 nucleotides) under Candidatus Vogelbacteria bacterium CG10_big_fil_rev_8_21_14_0_10_51_16. RNAcentral describes it as "tRNA-Ser". It matches the Rfam family "tRNA". From Rfam's summary of the family: Transfer RNA (tRNA) molecules are approximately 80 nucleotides in length. Their secondary structure includes four short double-helical elements and three loops (D, anti-codon, and T loops). Further hydrogen bonds mediate the characteristic L-shaped molecular structure. tRNAs have two regions of fundamental functional importance: the anti-codon, which is responsible for specific mRNA codon recognition, and the 3' end, to which the tRNAs corresponding amino acid is attached (by aminoacyl-tRNA synthetases). tRNAs cope with the degeneracy of the genetic code in two manners: having more than one tRNA (with a specific anti-codon) for a particular amino acid; and 'wobble' base-pairing, i.e. permitting non-standard base-pairing at the 3rd anti-codon position. Lineage: Bacteria; Candidatus Vogeliibacteriota. The record is from RNAcentral.
GGAGAGGUGGCUGAGUGGUCGAAGGCGCCGCACUCGAAAUGCGGUGUACGGGCAACUGUACCGGGAGUUCGAAUCUCCCCCUCUCCGCCA